UAAUAAUAUAAAAAUGCAUGUUUUACAUUUUGUCAUGAUAAUAUUAUAAUAAUAUGUAGAAAUAAUAAAUUGUCAAUUAUUGAUAUGGAGUAUGUGAAGUAGUAUCACUUAUUAAACUGUCAUGAACAUCUAGUUUCAUACAGCUUUUAUUAGUACACUUCCAUCGAAAAUUGUUAUUGCUUAAAGUUGUAUGAUAUUCAAACUUAUAACUAUCAAUUAUACAUAUAAAAACCAUUAGUCACGACCAAUUUAGAACUACACAUUUUUUCCAUAGCUUAAAAAAAAUUAGUAUUUACAGUACAGUUUAUGAACUACCGAUUUUAGUGACACGAUACUAUUGAUUUUAGUGAUUUAAGUAGAUACUAUCGAUAAUAAUUAUAUAGCCAACUUGCGUUACCAGUAAAAUUUACUACCUGAAAAAUAUACCUUUUUUGGGGACGCAAGUAACAUGCAGAUCCCAACCCUACCAACCUUACAGGCCAAUGACCUCAGUCGUCGAAUCCUUAUUCCUAAACAACUUUUGCAUAAUCGAAAGUAUAUAAUAUUAUGUGUUAAGUAUUUAUAAGUAGUUAUAGUAAUAGUUUUAAGCAACUUGUUCUCGAUACCACCGUACAUUAAUUGUAAAUAAAGUGCAUGAUAUAAAUAGGAUAAAUUGUACUCAAUCGAUUUGUAUUGUACUAAUUAAAUUAAUUUGAUUUAUGAAGUUAUGAACCGUUAUUUCUGUAAAUGAUUCAAUAAAUGUUUUUAAUUUAUUUAUUAGAACUCUCAUCUCUGCACAGCCAUUGGGUUUAAAUAAAAGAAAUACAAUAUAUCAUAAUUAAAUAUCAACAAGACAUUAGACAACAAAAAUUAAAAACAGACAAAUAAUUUAGGUUUCAGUAUAAUAUAAUAUUAUAUUUAUAUAUUAUUUCCAAACUAUUUGUCUUUGUUUUUACUACUGCAUUCUACCCUACAGAGUAUCAUUUAACCGUUUUUGACGUUCUUGUACAUACACGCCCUUAACCAAUUUUUGGAUUCGUCACAUGCCUGAAAAACUGCGAUCACGUGUUCCAAAACUUACUGGAAUAAUUAUAAUAGCAAUUUGAAGUAAUUUAUACCGGCGAGAAAAAACCUUUUUUUGAAUGCGAUAUUCCCCGAGCAUAGUAUGUCAUUGAUAACUGACAAUAUCAACUGUUGUAAUAUUAUUAUUACAUAUUUAUUAUCAGGCCAAACUACUCUAUUUUAAAGCAUAAAAUUAUGUUAAAAUAAUGAAUAUUUGAACAGUCCAAAAACUCAAUAAAUACUAUCAAUGUAAAUAAUGCAAAGUUAUGGCUAUAGGAUUUUUGGGGGCCCUAAUUUUGAGACAAGGGACUAUUUAAGAAACUCCCUGCCUCCAUAUAGUAUGUAUAUACUUUACAGUAUUUUUACGGCCUUAUCAGUUAUCGUGUUUGUUCGCGACGGUCUGUAAAUGUCUGCAUCGUAUACUAUAGUACGCAUCCGAUGAUAUCCAUUUUGCUCGUCCAAUCGAAAACAUUCGUCUUACAGCGGCGCGUCUUUGAAAACACGACUUAACGAGAAACGGGAAUUCUCAAAUAUUAAAACACUCGCUUAUAUUAUUAUUUUAUCUAUAUACAUAUACCAACUGCCAUAGCGCAGUGCCUCUUUGAAAUAUAUACAUAUACGAUUGUAAUAAUUAAUGUAGUCGGUGUUUUUACGCACAAUCGUUUGUCGAUAUAAUCCUUCGCGCGUGUGGGGGUAGCGUUGUAAGUAACAACCCUCGGGUGCGAGUCGGAUUUCAUAUACGCGUUUCGCCGCGUGCUCAAUCGGCGUCGACUUUGUAGAAUUCACCCGUCCUAUGUAUAUAUAUAUAUAUAUAUAUACGAACGCAUAAAUUACGUUUAUUCGUAUUAUAUUAUUAUAGGUACAUACCGUAAUAGUUAUACCGUCUUACACAUGCACACACCGUCACCGCCGCCACCCUCGAACGCGACUGACUUUAUAUAAUAUACCUAUUAUAUAUAUAUAUAACGUAAUCGAUGUAAACCCAACGGAGACAAAUUAUUCGAAAUACGCACAGCGUUAUGAUAUAGGUUAUGUAUUAUGUAACACUGUAUAGCCAUAGUACGCCUUUGAAAGUAUAUAUGAUAGGUAAUCUCCUAUAAACAUCCCUCUCGAACAACCCCACACGAUAUUAUAACCUUUUACACGACGUGCAGUUUUAACUGCGUAUAGUAUGGCACAUGCAGUGAGCUUCAAGCGUGUUCAUUAUAAAAUGUAUAAAUUAAUAUGCAGAAAGACAAAACGAUAUAAUAUUGUUGUAUCCUAUGGGUAGGCAUAUAUACCUAUUACCUGUUAUAUUGUAGUUCUGGGUUCAUAGGAAAAAAACAAUAAAUACCAACUUCAUGUCCAUUAAUUAUUAUCACCGUUAUAAUAUUAUUAUUAUUAUAAUACAUAAUAUUAUAUUAUUUUAUCGGAAAGGAAGUCCGAUAUUAACAAUAUUAUUAUUGUAGUCGUUCACCUUUAUUCGCCGGCGGACAAUAAGCUAUUUUUAAACAGUUUUUAAUUUUAAUCGUCGACACAUUAAUUAUUCACAACUGCACACCAUCGUCCGUCGUACAUAUUUUCAACAAUGAGCCAUUGUUCCGACGAGUAGACAUACAUAAUAUAAUAUGUGAAUAUAAAAUAUACGUAUAGCUUUAGCUUAUAACAAUAAUUAUAUUAUUUUUUUUAAGAGGUUAGUUCGGUCGUCAAAUAUCAAACGUUUACACACCGAUCCAUUAUAGUAUAAUAUUAUAUUUUACGGUAGUUUUUUUUUAACGUAUCAUGACAAAUCAAUUAGUUUAUAAUAAAAGUAUACCUAUUAUUAUUAUUACAGCAUAAUAUUCGACCGAAUGCAAAAUUAAUUUAUAAUAUGUACACGAAAUACCAGCCAUGCAUAUUGUAUUAUACCAGUAGGGCGAGGGGAAUCGCGUUUUCGCCGGAUUAUUAUGCGUCGCAAGUAUAAAUCAAUCCCUGGAAACCCCAAAAAUCGAUAGAAUACAUAUACAUCAUCAGUUCCGCAACACGAAAGACUUGACACGUUAUUAUAAUAUUCACACACAAAGUGACAUUUCACAUAUUUUGUCCUUUCGAGAUACUCGGCACGACAAGUUGUCCGAUUUGGAAAUAAUUAUUAAUAUUACAAACAACAUACAUAAAGGUGUAAAAUAUUUAAAUAUAUAUAACAUAGUAUCUCGAAGGGGAAAAAAUGUCUCGUCGGCGGGUCUUGCGUUUUUCAUCGUGAAAAUGGGGUUACUGGUUAGACAUAAACCAGGAGCAUAAUUAUUACUGCAGGGAACAGUAUUUUUUGGGAAAAUAUCUGUGUGAAAUUAUAUAAUAUAUCUCGAAGAGGAAAAAUAUUUCUAAAGAAUGAUAUAAUUUAGGAAUGCGGUAUACGUCUUAUACAGUACAAUAGUAGGUAUAACACCAAAUUAUAUAAUUUUGUGAAAAUAAUUAUCCGUACGCAGGGAACAAUCCCAAAUAUUCCUUUAAAUAUUUUCCAGAUUUAUAACCCUCCCCCCCAAGGUUUUUACAAUUCCCGUUUAAAUAUUGUUGCAAGAAAGUACUAUAUUCGUACCAUUCCCGAACGAUGACAUUCUUUGGAAAUAUUGUCGCUCUCCGAGACAUCGUCGCGGGGAUCAGUGUUUUCCCUUGAAACACUGAUCCCUGCAAUUAUUUUAUUGUCCGGGUCAAUGCGAAAUGCAGCCUCCCACCCUCAAAACGACUGCGAGAAUCGGACCUCCGAUUGGCGAGCCCGUCCGAUUGAUUCGUCAAAAACCACGUCAUGCACGUAAGGUUGGUCGGAACCAGACGCGCAUUAUAGGUAUGGUACGAUCCAAAUUCAAACCGCUGUUCAGUAUGCCGGCCGGCACUCGCCCCGACGACGACGACGACGACAACGAGUCGUUACGUGUGAGCGGUCGCUUAAAAUACGCGAGCGCGGAGAUCGUUUUCUCGGUAAACCAAUUAACGCGCCGGCCGGACACGACCGGGCCCGUAAAAGGCGCGCAACCGUCACAGCGGCAGCACACGCGACCCGAAUGGAAAUUGCCGGGCGACGACCACCGCCCGUGCCGUUCGGAGAAAACGGACGUCGUCGUCGGUCGUCCUCGGACCCCGUUUUGGGUAAACGUGUAUUUACACCGCUCGUCCGAUGUGUAUAUAUACACCGCGAGCGCCGCGACUGCAGUGGUCAUUAUUGUGCAUACAGGGCGCUUCCCGCCGCGGUUUCGGUCGUCGGCGAUGUGACGACUGUCCGGCACGGGGAGGGUCGUUCGGGGCGUAACGCAUAUUAUACCGGGAAACGUCUGUUUAAAACCGUUCAAACAUUAUAUAAUGUUGCGUAUUUGCAGUACACGGCUGCUGCGAGCCGAUCCUGCGCAUGGCUUGACGAAUUGAGAUAAUAAUAUAAUGCCAGUGGAUUUGCCCCGUCUUAAACUAGGUAUCCAUUGAUUUUGAACUAUACACGCCAUAUUUUUAACACGGUCGUUUUGAGGCCGGUUCGCAAUUUUAAGAUACAAAUUAUUUACGAUAUAGGUAUUGUAAUGACUGUUUUAAUUUAAGUUACCAAUGGCAACACGGCGCUUGAAUUGGGAACAAAUUAGAAGGAGGAAGUGCAAAAGUGUAAAAAAAAAUGUACCUGAAUAUAUUUUAAACGUCGUAUUGAUUAGAAUAUAAUUAGAAGGGGAACGCAUAAAUAUUUAUUAAAAAUAAGUGAGGCUCCUCUCCUCCCCCACGUCUCCCACAAUAUUCAAGCACUGCCUAUACAGACGAAUAAUUUUUUUUCGUGAGCCAACAAAUCCCUGUGUAAGGUUCUAUUUAAAUUGCAAAAUUUUAAAAAUUGGUUCGAGGUGCACAUCUUCGAGUAUAUAGAAUUACAUAUAUGUACCUACCAAAUUUAAGAACCACACGUGCGCAAUAGACUUGGCUGUGGUUUACAUAUAUACACACACAAACGAUGCAUUUUAUUAAUAUAUAUAUUAUAAUAUUAUGUUGUCACGUUUUUAAAAUAUUUGCACCCUUCAUAGGCUUACUACAGCCCCUAAGUACAAGCGACAUGAUAUAAUAAUAUAUUGCAUUACUCACUUCGUAUAUUACAACUGAUAAACGAUUAAGAGAAAUUUCAGUGAUGAAAAAAUUAGUAGGUAAUGAGGUAUAAUCAGUGAUUAGGUCAGUUAAAAAUCUAUACAAUUGAAAAGUCGUAAUAUUCAUAACAUUUUCUCGAUUAUAACAGUUGUUAUAAAAUGCAUUUUACUUUAACACGAGUUUAACAUUUCUUAUACUAAUUUUAACUGAAUAUUUUUUCGCCCUCAGAACGUGCCACGAGAGUAGAUUUAUUGUAUCUAUAUUAAGACGUCGACGAUUAUUUUUUAAUCUCUAAUUCCUAUAUUAUACAUCGUUUAGUACACAAAACAUUAGGCAUAUAAUAUAUUAUAUAAUUGCUUUUGUAAAUAUACUAUCAUUUAUCGCACUAUAAUUAAUUAUUUAUGUAAUAAAGAACAUUAAUAAGAACGUUAAUUGUAUAUUUGACUUUCGUGGCCUGCACACUAAAUGUGGCCACCACCCACCGACUUUAAUAAAAACAAACGACGACGUCAAACAAUAUUACGCGUGUCGCUAAAUAAAUAUAAUUCAUUCUGGAUAGCACACUAACAAAUAUUAAUGUUUAGUUAAUAUUAGGUCAUAUUAAAUUAUACUAAAAUACUGUGGAAUGCCAACAACACACGCGCCAAUCCUACAGGCAUACUUCUCAUUUUUUUUUUUGCGUUUUAGCAGUGUUAUAUUAUAACAUCGCGCUGUGAAUUAUAUGGGAUUAAAUAAUUUUACAAUCGAUCUACUAUGGAUUUCAUGCUCCGUGCCCUCCUCCAAACGGUCAAAAGCGGACGAUUAUAUAAAACGGUAAUUAUAAUAUACGAGUUUCGCGAACCACUCUGUGUACGUCCUAUGGAAUUUAGAUAUAUUAUAAUAUUAGUCGGGGUGGAUCACUACGAGGGAUCGCGGAAAGUGGCCGUGUGCAGUACGGUGCAGUUGUAGUUUGUCUGUUUAAUGCCACAGCGGACAACAAACCGGAGCGGCGGCUCGUAUAUUAUUUCACGUAGGUCCUGUACACUCCUGUACGUGUAUGUAUAAUGUAUAUAUACUAUAUAUAUAUAUAUAUAUAUAUAUCAUGUGCGUACGUAUAUAUAUAUAUAUAUAGUUUUAACGAGGGUGACAUGAGCUCCAACGAUCCAUUCGGCCGUCUGCGUGUGUAUGUAAUAAUAUAUUAUGCAGUGCGGUGCAGCACAGCCUCUUCUCUACCACCACCGCCGCUCGUAGAUAUAUAUAUAUAUGUGUGUGUGUGUGUGUGUGUGUGUGUGUUUGACUCUAAAUUAAACCCAUACUGCCUUCGUAACGUAUAUUCUUAAAACCCUAUACGUAUAUUAUACGACUGUUCUAUGGGUAUAUACGCCGCUCCAGGCUCUCCGACAUAAUAGGUAGAUAAUUCGCCUCAUCGCCGUCGUGCAAUGUGCGAUGCAGCGCCUGCACUGCACUGCACUUUAGUGCAUUAUAUAUAAAUUGUAUACGCGUAGUUUCGGACGUAACGCUUGUCGAAUGUCGAUCUGGACACUUUAUAAUAUGUAUACGGAGUGAUCUGUUUUACGAGUCACGUCGAUUUUUCAAAUUAUACAUUUUUGUGUUUUUGAAAAAAAUAUCCAAUAUUGAUACAUAAUAGACAUAAUAUUUAGAAAAGUAUAAUAUAAUGAUAUUCUGCUUCCAUUAAAUUAAAGAAAUAGCUUGAUAAUAAUUGCUAUAUUAUUAUACCUACAUACUGCUAUUAUUAUUAGGUUGUAGAAUAUGAAGAUAAUAUAACACCUAUCUAGGUAUAUUAAGGACGACUUGACCAACGUAUUGCAUUAUAAUAUUUCAGACUUCAGUCGAUAAUAUUAUAAUAUAUUAUGUAUACCUGCAUAUCUGUUAAAACGUAACACUUGGCAGAGUUGACCGUCAUCAUAUUAUUAUUUAUUGUGUUUACAUUUUGGUGGACAAUCGUUUACUUGAGGUACUAUGUAUAUUGUACAACAAUACUAUACGGAUCCGAUGACUGGGUAAAUCUAUCAAAUCGACAGGCUACUACAACAGCUUCCCGGCGGCGAGUAUUAUUACAUCACGCGUCGUGUCUCUGCGAAGUGGCGUAAAUUAAUAAAUAAUAAUAAUAUCGUCCUGGUUAUCAUCUUGCGUUAUGAUAGACGCCCGACAGCGCAAGGAAAUACGCAGACAGACUGCAGUCCCCGUGGCGUAUUAAUAAACUUCGUCACUGCAUAGCGGUGAUGAUUUUUCCUAAAUUGAAAAUAACAGUUUAUCCCAAAUUUUCCGAUAUAAAUUAAGUACGCCCCAGGCCCCCGUGGUUAAGUUAGGGUUCCGCUCGACCUCUUCGACCAAGCAUUUGAUUACUAUACAUCGACGGACGAAUUGACACAAUUAUGAUAAAUAUGAAUAAGGUACUUUUAAGUUUGAGCACAUGGGGCGGCACCCGCGAACUCGAGGUAAUAUAAAUUUGGUAUGGUAUAUUAUAAUAUAAGAGUUUUGUUAAUUUCCGCAAUAUCUCUAAAAUUAUAAUCUCUAUUUUGAAAAAAUAAUUUUAUUAGAAUUGUUGGUUUGUGUUAAACGUGCGCUGACGGAGAAGGCGAGAAAAAAUAAUUAUAAAUAUUUUUUGUAAGCUGUUAUAGUGUAUAUGAUGGUAUUUUCAGAAUUAAAUCAAAUAAUAUGUAUUUAAAUGUUAUUUUCAGACUUCGGUUAAAAAUAAUAAACGUAUUACAGCGAUUUUCCGUAUAAUAUAGUCAUUACUUAUUAGUAACCAUUUAUUUUAUAGUUCUACUAGUCCGAAGUAAUCCAAGAUUAUAGAUCUGCGAAGUUAAUUUGAUAAACGAUUAAAACGCGCGAUUUUAUUUCUAUAAUAAUAAUAAUAAUAUAAUGAACGGUAAAAGCAAAGUCGAUUUUACUGCAGUGCACAUUUUUGGGAAUAAAACCAUUUUAUCGUCGGAUAUAAAAAAGAAAAAAGAAAAAAGUAGCUACACCAUUUUGAUUUCGUCUCGGUAAAUUAAACUGCAAACCGUUUUGUAGUGAAGAGAGGAUCAAUUAUUAUUACCUAUGUACCUUAUUUAUGUCGUAAAAAAACAUCGCCUUGUCCACAUUAUAAUAACAUCAUAAUACUUACGUACUCGUACUAAUGACGGUUAAUAAAAAAUAAUAUUAUUAUUACGAAAACGCGUUUCCCUGCAGCAGUGGUCAAAUUGUUAUUUUAGUAUUAUCAUUGAUUAUUCUCUACUAUUUAUCAUUGAUAAUAUUUUAUUGAUAUUAUAUAAAAUCAAUGGUAUUAUACAAUCCAAAAUAUUAACAGUUUAUCGCACGUAUAUUAUAUUAUUAUUAUCCUAUACGACAUAAUGAAUGAUGCAUAUUGUGUUUGAAAAAAAAGAAUUAUUAAAUUCGUUUUUUGUUGGUUUUUUUAAAUCACAGGUAGAGGACAUUAACAAAAGAAUACAUUUUUUAGUGCACACAUUUAUAAUUUAGGUACCUCUGGUUUUUAUUUUUCCAUCCAGGCCAGUCGGAACACAACAAUGACAGUUGACAAAUCGCACUUUUGCAGGCUUUAUACAUUUGUGUUACAACUACACCAUUACACGGCAAUUAGUCUGUCAGUAUUAUUUAUGCGCUUUAUACUUUAUAUAUAUAUAUUAUUUGUACACAGUAGUGAACGCGAAAACUCGAUUUUUCGAUGACCGUUUUCGGAAAGGAUUACAAUCGUUCAUUGUGCUGUGUAAACCCACAAAAAAAAAAAUAAUAAUCAUAAUCGUUUGUAACACGUGAGAAAAUAGGUAUAAUGUUUACAAUAAAUAAUGUAUAAUAUUAUACAAAUACAACUACAGUCAUCCAUAACAUUAUAACAGCCUGUCUUUCGUAUUUGCUCCGACAAUAUAACAAUAAUCGGCCGCCGUUUCGCAUCCGACACGAUUCGACACUUAAACAUUUACACCCGCCGCAUAUUGCAUUAUGUACUUACGCCAUUUACGGGUCCCUCGGAUGCAUAUUUUAUUCAAUAUCGUACAACCAUAUAGUGAUAUAGGUGCCUACACCCUCUCGGCGAUCCUAUAUAUAGUUCUUCGUUUUGGCAACGACUACACAAAUACGCUAAAAAAAAAAAACGUUUAUCGCCC
Long non-coding RNA from Acyrthosiphon pisum (pea aphid), 9209 nucleotides. RefSeq lists it as uncharacterized. NCBI's taxonomy places the organism in Eukaryota, Metazoa, Arthropoda, Insecta, Hemiptera, Aphididae. The record is from RefSeq and is a predicted model, not a curated record. The transcript is spliced from 2 exons.